UCCCGUCGCGGGGUAACAUUUGUGCUUGCACAAGAUGACGACCGGCGCACGGGUGCGCACCGCGUAUGGAACCUACCUUGUACAGGGGAAUAGCCUUUGGAAACGAAGAUUAAUGCCCCGUGGUACCAUGACCCGGCAUCGGGAUAUGGUUAAAGCCUUCGGGCGGUACAAGAUGGCCAUGCGUCCCAUUAGCUAGUUGGUAAGGUAACGGCUUACCAAGGCUACGAUGGGUAGGGGCCCUGAGAGGGGGAUC
Molecule: ribosomal RNA, 253 nt
Filed under: uncultured bacterium
Lineage: Bacteria
Description: partial 16S ribosomal RNA
Rfam family: Bacterial small subunit ribosomal RNA
Source: RNAcentral